CUCCCCGUAACUCAGUUGGCUAGAGUGCCGGGCUUCUACCCCGGAUGUCGGGGGUUCGAGUCCUCCCGGGGAGGCCA
RNAcentral lists this transfer RNA (77 nucleotides) under Gammaproteobacteria bacterium. RNAcentral's name for it is "tRNA-Arg". It matches the Rfam family "tRNA". From Rfam's summary of the family: Transfer RNA (tRNA) molecules are approximately 80 nucleotides in length. Their secondary structure includes four short double-helical elements and three loops (D, anti-codon, and T loops). Lineage: Bacteria; Pseudomonadati; Pseudomonadota; Gammaproteobacteria. The record is from RNAcentral.